RNAcentral lists this ribosomal RNA (254 nucleotides) under uncultured prokaryote. RNAcentral's name for it is "partial 16S ribosomal RNA". It matches the Rfam family "Bacterial small subunit ribosomal RNA", at positions 525 to 777 of the family's 1533-position model. The record is from RNAcentral.
ACGUAGGGGGCGAGCGUUGUCCGGAUUUAUUGGGCGUAAAAGGCUUGUAGGUGGCCACGCGAAGUCGGAUGUGAAAUCUCCCUGCUCAACGGGGAGGGAGCGAAGUAGACUGGCGAGCUAGAGGACGGUAGAGGGGGGUAGAACUGCUGGUGUAGCGGUGAAAUGCGUAGAGAUCAGCAAGAAUACCCGUGGCGAAGGCGGCCCCCUGGACCGAACCUGACGCUGAGGCGCGAAGGCUAGGGGAGCGAACGGGA